Molecule: unclassified non-coding RNA, 355 nt
Filed under: Hevea brasiliensis (rubber tree)
Lineage: Eukaryota; Viridiplantae; Streptophyta; Magnoliopsida; Malpighiales; Euphorbiaceae
Source: RNAcentral
AUUUCAGAUCUGAAGUGUCGCAAGAUGACUAGAUCUGGAACAGUUACUCAAGAAUCUAGGGUUUCAGAGUUGGAGGAACAAGUUAGGGUUUUACAUGAGGAUUUUAAGAAAAAUAAGGAGGAAUUGCGUGGGGAAAUCAAGCAAUCUGCAAUUGAUACCAGGAAAAUUAUCCUGGAGGAGUUCUGAUCCUUGUUUGGUACAAAUUUGGCUGAGAAGGCCAAAGGAAACCAGCAUGGAGGCAAUGAGGAGGCUGGUACUUCUAUGGCUACUCUUGGAGGAAGGGGAAUACUUCCUAUGCCAAGGGAGAACAUUACUACAGGUCAGAGAGGGGCUAAUAGUGCUGGAUCUAUAACUG